CGCUGAGGGACGAUCGGCACGACCAGCGACCCCAGGUCAGGCGGGGAUACCCGCUGAGUUUAAGCAUAUCAAUAAGCGGAGGAAAAGAAACUAACAAGGAUUCCCUUAGUAACGGCGAGCGAACCGGGAACAGCCCAAGCUUAGAAUCGGGCGG
Molecule: ribosomal RNA, 154 nt
Filed under: Klebsiella pneumoniae
Lineage: Bacteria; Pseudomonadati; Pseudomonadota; Gammaproteobacteria; Enterobacterales; Enterobacteriaceae
Description: partial 23S ribosomal RNA
Rfam family: Eukaryotic large subunit ribosomal RNA (bases 27-154)
Source: RNAcentral